ACCGUGCUAGAUGGGCAGUUUGACUGGGGCGGUCUCCUCCAAAAGAGUAACGGAGGAGUACAAAGGCCCGCUCAGGACGGUUGGCAAUCGUCCGUCGAGCGCAUAGGUAGAAGCGGGCUUGACUGCGAGUGCUACGGCACGAGCAGAGCUGAAAGGCGGUCUAAGUGAUCCUGUGGUCCCGUGUGGAAGGGCCAUAGCUCAACGGAUAAAAGGUACGUUGGGGAUAACAGGCU
RNAcentral lists this ribosomal RNA (233 nucleotides) under Pycnococcus provasolii. RNAcentral's name for it is "partial Bacterial large subunit ribosomal RNA". It matches the Rfam family "Bacterial large subunit ribosomal RNA", at positions 2251 to 2483 of the family's 2925-position model. The record is from RNAcentral. Lineage: Eukaryota; Viridiplantae; Chlorophyta; Pseudoscourfieldiophyceae; Pseudoscourfieldiales; Pycnococcaceae.